CCUACGGGUGGCAGCAGUGGGGGAUAUUGCACAAUGGGGGAAACCCUGAUGCAGCGACGCCGCGUGGGCGAAGAAGUAUUUCGGUAUGUAAAGCCCUAUCAGCAGGGAAGAAGAAAUGACGGUACCUGAGUAAGAAGCACCGGCUAAAUACGUGCCAGCAGCCGCGGUAAUUCGUAUGGUGCAAGCGUUAUCCGGAUUUACUGGGUGUAAAGGGAGCGCAGGUGGCACGGCAAGCCUGAUGUGAAAGCCCGGGGGCCAACCGCGGGACUGCAUUUGGAACGACCGGGCUGGAGUGCCGGAGAGGUAGGCGGAAUGCCUGGUGUAGCGGUGAAAUGCGUAGAUAUUAGGAGGAACACCAGUGGCGAAGGCAGCCUACUGGACGGUGACUGACGCUGAGGCUCGAAAGCGUGGGGAGCGAACAGGAUUAGAUACCCCAGUAGUC
RNAcentral lists this ribosomal RNA (442 nucleotides) under uncultured bacterium. RNAcentral describes it as "partial 16S ribosomal RNA". It matches the Rfam family "Bacterial small subunit ribosomal RNA", at positions 338 to 795 of the family's 1533-position model. The record is from RNAcentral.